This 377-nucleotide unclassified non-coding RNA is filed under the name uncultured Gammaproteobacteria bacterium. Its description in RNAcentral is "contains 16S-23S intergenic spacer region". Lineage: Bacteria; Pseudomonadati; Pseudomonadota; Gammaproteobacteria. The record is from RNAcentral.
UCCGGUUUGUCACCGGCAGUCUCAUUAAAGUGCCCAACUAAAUGAUGGCAAUUAAUGACAAGGGUUGCGCUCGUUGCGGGACUUAACCCAACAUCUCACGACACGAGCUGACGACAGCCAUGCAGCACCUGUGUUCAGGCUCCCUUUCGGGCACGAAUCCAUCUCUGGAAACUUCCUGACAUGUCAAGGGUAGGUAAGGUUUUUCGCGUUGCAUCGAAUUAAUCCACAUAAUCCACCGCUUGUGCGGGUCCCCGUCAAUUCCUUUGAGUUUUAAUCUUGCGACCGUACUCCCCAGGCGGUCAACUUCACGCGUUAGCUACGUUACCAAACCUAAUAAGGCCCGACAACUAGUUGACAUAGUUUAGGGCGUGGACUAC